GAAAGAGAGACCGAGAGAAAAGAGAGACAGAGAAAUAGAGAGGUAGAGAACGGAGAAGGAGAGAGAGAUCGAGAGAUCAAAAACUGCAAUUUGCAAUCAAGAAUGAAAAGAUGUCUCUCACUUCCUGUCAAAUUUCUUCAUCUAACUGUCCGCUAAUUUCAUUCCCUGGAAUAAGAAGAAGCAAGGAAGAUGAAUCGUCAAGAACGAAGAGGAGUCAAGAAUGAAAUAGAGGGGCAGAGAUAGAGAGAAGGGCGCCACCCAGAUCUUCUGCCAUCACCAUUUGGUUUUGGUUAAGGGAUACAGAGAUAGAAGAAGCAAGCAGAGUUUGUAGGUGCCAAGAGAGAAGAAAUAUCUAUGGCUGGCCAUUGCCUGUUCCCUCGCCAGACUUGCUGGUCUUUCUGCUGGAACAUCAUACACCCAGAUAGAGUCCGUAAGGCACAAAGAGACAGGCCACCGUAUACCUGUAACCAGUAAAGUUAUUGUUUUUGGCUUUUUCCUUUUCGUUUUCAAAUCUGGGGUUUGAAUAUGAUUUAGGUUUGAAUUUCUUGGUUGGAUUGGUUUAGAUUUAGCUAUUUCAAUUAGAUUUGGUUUUGACUUAGGCUUCCAUUAGCAUGCCACUGAUAGGUAAUUUGGCCAGUUGUUAAUUUUUAACAUUUUAAAUUAUUGUUGUGUUAGUUUUGGCUUGAAUUAGAUUGGUUUGGUUUUGAGUGAUCAUUUACGAAAUUCAUUACAAUUAGUAUUUUUUCUCUUUUGAAAAUUGAAACUACUAAGUUUUUGAAAUUGACAGCACUGAUCAACUUUACUAUGCCUAAGAUAUAAUCAACAUAUAAAUUUUAUUAUAUGCUUAUAAAUUGUUUGAUAAAAUUCUACUGUUUUUUUAUUCUAAAAUUUAUUUUUAUUGUUUAUAAUUUAAGUUUUAUGAUGUGUAUAAUUCUCCCAAUAGUACCUAAAUGAUACAAAUCAUUGGCAUCUUUCUCCUUCAGGUUUGUAUCAGUUUAUUUUAUAGUUUCUUUUUGUUUGUAUGGAAUCAAUAAUUUACUUCUUAUUGCAUAAUAAUUGUGUUAAUUUUAUAAUCAUUGUGAAACUGAGGGUGGGAGAGAGGGACUUACUUUUAAUGUGAUAUAGGUCAAAGCUUAAUGAAAGUUUGGGCAAUGAUGGAGUUAUUUUUAGGAGGAGCAUGUAAUUCAGCAACAUAAAUAUACCUCUGUUUGGAAGAAUCUCAACUUUUCAAUUAAAAUAGAGUGACAAUAUUUUGAAUAUGAUGAUUGUUUUUGCAAUAUCUCCUGUUUAAGGUUCUAAUUUUCCUUUUCUCAUACAGGUGGUGUGUACAUGGGAAAAAGGGACUUCGACUCUGAUAUAGAAUGCUUCGGGUUUUAUCUAAAUCUGGUGUUUUUAAUGACAAGGCACUGUUGACAGGCUUGAUUGUUCUGUUUCUAAACAUAAUAAUAGCUGUUUGUUCAGGAGGCAUUCUAUACUGUUGGCAUUGGAGUUUGGAUAAGGAAUGCAACUGAUGUCUAUUUUUCUUAAAUGGCACUCUGUUUUUGUUAGAGAGGUUCUGAGGGUCCCAUGUUCUAGAUUUUUGAUGAUUAUGUGGAAAUACGAUAUUGUUUUCUCUACAAGAUUCUAGAAACUAUCAUGUAGCUUUUUAUUUUUGUUGUUGCACUUGAUGUGAUUAAUCAGUGCUUACCUUUGGAAUCCUGA
Molecule: long non-coding RNA, 1701 nt
Organism: Quercus lobata
Lineage: Eukaryota; Viridiplantae; Streptophyta; Magnoliopsida; Fagales; Fagaceae
Exons: 3
Source: RefSeq, a predicted model, not a curated record